RNAcentral lists this unclassified non-coding RNA (485 nucleotides) under Hevea brasiliensis (rubber tree). The record is from RNAcentral. Lineage: Eukaryota; Viridiplantae; Streptophyta; Magnoliopsida; Malpighiales; Euphorbiaceae.
CUGCAAUGACUAAAACUUGUUAAUAGAUAAUAUAGUUUCACAUUUUUUGCGUGCAACAUGUAAAGAACCGCAUACAAAUGUGGCCUAGCAGGAAUGCCUACCACUAAGAGCCUAAGCAAUGAUUUCCUGUUAUCCAUUUCCAAAAGCCCAAAAUUUGUUUGAGGCUGGGGAUUUUUUGUAUGUCACAGAUGCUUCUCAGCCACAGAAGAAAUCCCUAUAUUACAUAAUUAUUUUCUUUGAUUUGAAACUAGUUAGGGCUGCAAACGAGCCUAGCUGCUCAUGAGCUACUUGGAGUUGGAGCUCAGCUUAAUAAAAGCUCACUUAAGGCUCAGUUGACAUAUGACCCAGGCAAGCUCACCUUGUGAGUCUUUACAAGCUCAUGAACCAUCUCAUAUGUAACUUCAUCAAAAAUUUAAUUUUAAAUUUAAGAGGUUCUUAUUAUAUUUAUGAUAUUCAUACAGAAUUAAAAUCAUUUAUUAAAAAAG